CCAAAAUGUUUUGAUAACCAAAGAAAGAUCACUAUGUGCAAAGCUUUCUGAUAUGGGAAUUAGCAAACGCCUUCUUGAAGAUAUGUCUACGUUGGGUCAUAGUGUUACUGGAUGUGGGAGUUCAGGGUGGCAGGCACCAGAGCAGCUUGUUCAAGGACGCCAAUCACGAGCUUUAGAUUUGUUUAGUUUGGGAUGUGUCCUAUUUUUCUGUAUGACUGGGGAAGACAUCCAUUUGGAGAGUCCAUUCUAGAGGCAGAGGACCUUAUCUCUCGUUAUUAAAUCCUGAUCCGAAUUUAAGGCCAAAGGCGAUUGAAGUGUUGCACCAUCCUUUUUUCUGGAGUUCUGUGAUGAGACUUUCAUUUCUUCGAGACGCCAGUGAUAGGGUGGAACUUGAGGACAGAGAGACUGAUUUUGAUCUUCUUAGAACAUUAGAAAGCAUUGCUCCAAUGGCUUUAGGUGCAAAAUGGGACGAAAAGAUGGAACCGGCUUUCAUUACUAAUAUUGGUCCUUACAGAAGAUAUAAAUACGACAGUGUUCGAGACUUAUUAAGGGUCAUGAGAAACAAGCUAAAUCAUUAUAGAGAAUUACCUUAAGAAAUUCAGGUUUUGUCUUGAACUAGAACUUUUUACUAAGAUUUUUUUUAAAAAAAGAUUUGAGGAUGAGUCUUAUUUUCUACGAUUUUGGCUGAUCAGGAACUUGUAAGAUCUGUUCCAGAAGGAUUCAAUGACUAUUUUGCAAGUCGGUUCCAAGGCUCUUGAUUGAAGUAUACAGAGUUAUAUACGAAUAUUGCAAGGAAGAUGAAUGUUUUCAAAGGUAUCUUAGAGACAAUUAGUGCGUUAGCGUUGUUUUAAUGACCAUAAUUAUAUACAAAGUGAAUGAACAAGGUCAGAGAGGCCAUGGAACAAUUACAACGACAUAGGUUAACUAGCUCUAAUCUAACAGUGUAAUAUAUUAUUGUAAUACGAUGUAUAUAUGUACUUCGCCAAUUAGUAAUACAGGAAAGUUAUGGUUUAA
This is a long non-coding RNA of Arachis duranensis, 1014 nucleotides long. RefSeq lists it as uncharacterized. Lineage: Eukaryota; Viridiplantae; Streptophyta; Magnoliopsida; Fabales; Fabaceae. The transcript is spliced from 3 exons. The record is from RefSeq and is a predicted model, not a curated record.